RNAcentral lists this non-coding RNA (24 nucleotides) under Arabidopsis thaliana (thale cress). Lineage: Eukaryota; Viridiplantae; Streptophyta; Magnoliopsida; Brassicales; Brassicaceae. The record is from RNAcentral.
UUACAUGCUCUUGUUUCGGGCCUG